UAGGGAAUCUUCGGCAAUGGACGAAAGUCUGACCGAGCAACGCCGCGUGAGUGAAGAAGGUUUUCGGAUCGUAAAACUCUGUUGUUAGAGAAGAACAAGGACGUUAGUAACUGAACGUCCCCUGACGGUAUCUAACCAGAAAGCCACGGCUAACUACGUGCCAGCAGCCGCGGUAAUACGUAGGUGGCAAGCGUUGUCCGGAUUUAUUGGGCGUAAAGCGAGCGCAGGCGGUUUCUUAAGUCUGAUGUGAAAGCCCCCGGCUCAACCGGGGAGGGUCAUUGUAAACUGGGAGACUUGAGUGCAGAAGAGGAGAGUGGAAUUCCAUGUGUAGCGGUGAAAUGCGUAGAUAUAUGGAGGAACACCAGUGGCGAAGGCGGCUCUCUGGUCUGUAACUGACGCUGGGGCUCGAAAGCGUGGGGAGCAAACAGG
Molecule: ribosomal RNA, 429 nt
Filed under: Chloroflexota bacterium
Lineage: Bacteria; Bacillati; Chloroflexota
Description: Chloroflexi bacterium partial 16S ribosomal RNA
Rfam family: Bacterial small subunit ribosomal RNA
Source: RNAcentral